This 1173-nucleotide ribosomal RNA is filed under the name Triticum aestivum (bread wheat). RNAcentral's name for it is "partial small subunit ribosomal RNA". Lineage: Eukaryota; Viridiplantae; Streptophyta; Magnoliopsida; Poales; Poaceae. The record is from RNAcentral.
AUGAGUUUCUCUGUGCAAUGGUGGGAUGAGUGGCAGCUGCGCAUUCUGGUGCUGGGCAGCCUCUUCAUCCAGUACUUCCUCUUCUUGUCCUCCGUAGUGCGCAGGUGUCCUCUUCCAUCUUGGCUACGACUCUUCAUGUGGCUUGCCUACCUAGGCGGGGAUGCUCUGGCGAUAUAUGCGCUGGCCACCCUCUUCAACCGCCACAGGCAGCUACCCCCAGACGGGAGCAUCCUGGAGGUUCUGUGGACGCCUGUCCUCCUCAUCCACCUCGGGGGCCAGCACUCGAUGGCUGCCUACAACAUCGAAGACAACGAGCUGUGGUCGCGGCAUGCCAUAAUCGUGGUGUCCCAGGUCACGGUGGCCCUCUACGUGUUCUGCAAGUCGUGGUCCGGGGAGAAGAGGAAUGGGUGGACAGGAUACAUCCACGAUGCUGCCAGCUACACGAGGUUCAACAGCCACAGAGGCCAAUGGACACUGAACAAGCAUAGUCUGGGUCGCGACAAUCGGCUGGGGUGGAGCUUGAAGAUGGCGUUCGAUAGAAGCAUCCUUCUCUGGCACAUCGCCACUGACCUCUGCUUUCACCACCAAAACACAACCCCUCAUGGCCAAGAGUGCGCCGCUGCAAGCAGAGUGAUAUCCAACUACAUGGCUUACCUGCUCUACAUCCGUCCUGAGAUGCUGAUGCUCGGGACCAGGAACGGUAUCUUCACUGUUGCCUGUGAUGAUGCUGAGCUCAUCAUGGGCGGCAGGCUAGCACUGGACGUAAGUGGACUUGUGCAGAUAAUUCUUCACAGGGCGCAACAACCUCGCGCGUUAAACACCACCAAGAUAGGAGCUUUGGUUCCCAAUGCAUGCAGGCUUGCUGAAGCAUUGAUGGAGUUGCACGACGAAGGGGAGAGGUGGGAGGUUGUCCAGGGGAUAUGGGUGGAGAUGCUAUGCUACUCUGCCAGUAGGUGCAGGGGGUACUUGCACGCUAAGAACAUGAAUGAAGGUCCGGAGCUGCUCUCUAAAGUCUGGAUCCUCUUAUCACUCAUGGGGAUGGAGACACCGGCUGACAGGUAUCAAAAGCUAGGGCCUCCCAAAGCCAUGGAAGAAGAAGAAGAAGAAGAAGAAGAAGAAGAAGAAGAAGAAGAAGGCGACCAUGAAGUUGAAGGCUUAGUUGUUGAUUGUUGA